Vicia faba (fava bean) is the source of this 225-nucleotide non-coding RNA. Lineage: Eukaryota; Viridiplantae; Streptophyta; Magnoliopsida; Fabales; Fabaceae. The record is from the annotation of a GenBank genome assembly.
AUGUGCUUGUUUAUGCAGUCUCUUACAGUUUUGAUGUUUAGAUCAAUGGUGAGGUUUCUAACAUCAUUAAUUAGUGAGCCUUCCACUUCAAUCCCAACAUUACUAUACUAUAGUGGUCUUUUGCCUCACAAUGUUGUUCUAUUGAGAAUGGUUCGACAUGAGUUGCUUCAUCAAGAAAACUACCUCUUCCAUUUUCUUAUUAGCUUAAUGAGUUGCUUUUGGUGA